GCCGCUAUCGUCUAGUGGACUAGGACGCUGCUCUCUCAAGGCAGAAACCCGGGUUCGAAUCCCGGUAGCGGCACAA
RNAcentral lists this transfer RNA (76 nucleotides) under bacterium. Its description in RNAcentral is "tRNA-Glu". It matches the Rfam family "tRNA". From Rfam's summary of the family: Transfer RNA (tRNA) molecules are approximately 80 nucleotides in length. Their secondary structure includes four short double-helical elements and three loops (D, anti-codon, and T loops). The record is from RNAcentral.